CAGCCGCCGCGGGAAUACGGAGGGUGCAAGCGUUAUCCGGAUUUAUUGGGUUUAAAGGGUCCGUAGGCGGAUCUGUAAGUCAGUGGUGAAAUCUAACAGCUUAACUGUGAAACUGCCAUUGAUACUGCAGGUCUUGAGUAAAUUUGAAGUGGCUGGAAUAAGUAGUGUAGCGGUGAAAUGCAUAGAUAUUACUUAGAACACCAAUUGCGAAGGCAGGUCACUAAGAUUUAACUGACGCUGAUGGACGAAAGCGUGGGGAGCGAACAGGAUUAGAUACCCGAGUAGUCCCUGUCUCUUAUAC
This 301-nucleotide ribosomal RNA is filed under the name uncultured bacterium. RNAcentral's name for it is "partial 16S ribosomal RNA". It matches the Rfam family "Bacterial small subunit ribosomal RNA", at positions 509 to 807 of the family's 1533-position model. The record is from RNAcentral.